AACGCAUAUUGCGCCCUUUGGUAUUCCGAAGGGCAUGCCUGUUCGAGCGUCAUUAUCAACCAUCAAGCCUAGCUUGUCGUUGGACCCUCUUUACAGUUGAAAUUAUACUGUAGGUCCGAAAGAUAAUGACGGUGUCUUGUUUGACCCUAAAUGCAACGAGCUUUUUAUAGCACGCAUUGAAGUGGUCGAACCGGCCCCGGUCUUAACCAUUAUUUUCUUAAGGUUGACCUCGGAUCAGGUAGGAAUACCCGCUGAACUUAA
This 261-nucleotide unclassified non-coding RNA is filed under the name uncultured fungus. RNAcentral's name for it is "sequence contains ITS2". The stretch from base 1 to 52 matches the Rfam family "5.8S ribosomal RNA", at positions 103 to 154 of the family's 154-position model. Lineage: Eukaryota; Fungi. The record is from RNAcentral.